UACGUAGGGUGCGAGCGUUAAUCGGAAUUACUGGGCGUAAAGCGUGCGCAGGCGGUUCGUUAAGUUCGAUGUGAAAGCCCCGGGCUCAACCUGGGAAUUGCAUUGGAAACUGGCGGGCUUGAGUGUGGCAGAGGGGGGUGGAAUUCCACGUGUAGCAGAGAAAUGCGUAGAGAUGUGGAGGAACACCGAUGGCGAAGGCAGCCCCCUGGGCUAACACUGACGCUCAGGCACGAAAGCGUGGGGAGCAAACAGG
Molecule: ribosomal RNA, 253 nt
Filed under: uncultured bacterium
Lineage: Bacteria
Description: partial 16S ribosomal RNA
Rfam family: Bacterial small subunit ribosomal RNA
Source: RNAcentral